GACGAACGCUGGCGGCGUGCUUAACACAUGCAAGUCGAACGGUGAAGCGCCUUCCUUUUUGGUGGGUGUGGAUGAGUGGCGAACGGGUGAGUAACACGUGAGUAACCUGCCCCCUUCUUCUGGAUAACCGCAUGAAAGUGUGGCUAAUACGGGAUAUUCUGGGUCUGUCGCAUGAUGGGUCUGGGAAAGAUAUUGUUUCGGUGGGGGAUGGGCUCGCGGCCUAUCAGCUUGUUGGUGGGGUGAUGGCCUACCAAGGCGGUGACGGGUAGCCGGCCUGAGAGGGUGGACGGUCAUACUGGGACUGAGACACGGCCCAGACUCCUACGGGAGGCAGCAGGGGGGAAUAUUGCACAAUGGGAGGAAGGAUGAUGCAGCGACGCCGCGGGAGGGAUGGAGGCCUGCGGGUUGUGAACUUCUUUCGCCAGUGAAGCAGGCCUGCCUCGUUUGUGGGUGGGUUGACGGUAGCUGGAUAAGAAGCGCCGGCUAACUACGUG
RNAcentral lists this ribosomal RNA (494 nucleotides) under uncultured bacterium. RNAcentral's name for it is "partial 16S ribosomal RNA". It matches the Rfam family "Bacterial small subunit ribosomal RNA", at positions 28 to 507 of the family's 1533-position model. The record is from RNAcentral.